RNAcentral lists this ribosomal RNA (269 nucleotides) under uncultured bacterium. RNAcentral describes it as "partial 16S ribosomal RNA". It matches the Rfam family "Bacterial small subunit ribosomal RNA", at positions 84 to 354 of the family's 1533-position model. The record is from RNAcentral.
CGUCCGGCCGACCGGCGCACGGUGAGUAACACGUAUGCAACCUGCCCUCUUCAGGGGGACGAACCUUCCGAAAGGGAGGCUAAUCCCGCGUAUAUCGGUUUCGGGCAUCCGAGAUCGAGGAAAGAUUCAUCGGAAGAGGAUGGGCAUGCGGCGCAUUAGCUAGACGGCGGGGUAACGGCCCACCGUGGCGACGAUGCGUAGGGGUUCUGAGAGGAAGGUCCCCCACACUGGUACUGAGACACGGACCAGACUCCUACGGAAGGCAGCAG